ACUCAUCCCUAUCCACUUGGGCAUGAGAAGAGAAGGGGCGUGGCUUCAUUUAUGCAUGGAGAAAAUUCAUGAGAAACUCUUUCUCAUGUAUGAUAAGUGGCGCACAAGAUGGAUAAGCAUGAAGGCGCAAGGGAUAAGUUAUCCAUUCAAAUUCAAACACCCUUUGAAUUUGAAUGGCUAACAAAUCAAGAUUAUCCAAAAAUUGGCGCA
Molecule: long non-coding RNA, 210 nt
Filed under: Elaeis guineensis (African oil palm)
Lineage: Eukaryota; Viridiplantae; Streptophyta; Magnoliopsida; Arecales; Arecaceae
Description: long non-coding RNA (EGUI_LNC070384)
Source: RNAcentral